AAAGAUUAUAAAUAGAGCUACAACUGAAUCUCGUUCCUCAGUUUCACUUACUAGCUAGCUAUAUCUGUGACUGCUUCUAGUAGACUCAUUAAAACAAUGAAUAUAACACUGUUAUUUAAACAUACCGCAUACCCCUACAUCAAGUUGCAAGAAGCCAUAUAGGAACACAUAACGCAGCUCAGUAAAUUGACCGCAAUAUGGGAUAACAUAGAGUAGUGCAGUAUUAUCAAUAUUACCGCAAUUUACCGUUAGUUCUCGAUAAACUACCGGAAGUGGUUUCUUAUAAUGUUGUAUGCAGGGAUUUAGUGAAUAUUACGUAGAGUAUUAUUUUAAAAAGGUUUCAGCAACUGUACCAGAAUAGCUAGGCUGAAUACCAAUUUGGGAAAAUUCACUUGACUGGGUUUCUAAUCAUAAACAUACGGUUA
This is a non-coding RNA of Schizosaccharomyces pombe (fission yeast), 425 nucleotides long. The record is from the annotation of a GenBank genome assembly. Lineage: Eukaryota; Fungi; Ascomycota; Schizosaccharomycetes; Schizosaccharomycetales; Schizosaccharomycetaceae.